This 1893-nucleotide ribosomal RNA is filed under the name Triticum aestivum (bread wheat). Its description in RNAcentral is "partial small subunit ribosomal RNA". Lineage: Eukaryota; Viridiplantae; Streptophyta; Magnoliopsida; Poales; Poaceae. The record is from RNAcentral.
AUGGUGCGAGGCCUGCCAUGCCUCGACCAUGUGGAGCAGUUCUGCGAUAUCUGCGUGCUGACGAAGCAGAGACGACUCCCCUUUCCCCAACAGGCGAGUUUUCGGGCCAAGGAGAAGCUGGAGCUCGUGCAUGGAGACCUGUGCGGCCCGGUGACGCCAGCCACACCAGGAGGUCGACGCUACUUCCUACUGCUCGUCGACGAUCUCUCCCGCUACAUGUGGGUGAUGAUCCUCGGCAGUAAGGGAGAAGCGGCGGACGCCAUCAGGCGCGCGCAGGUUGGUGUGGAGGCGGAGAGCGGCCGCAAAUUGCGCGUGUUGCGCACUGACAACGGCGGCGAGUUCACGGCGGCUGAAUUCGCGUCGUAUUGCGCCGAUGAGGGCAUCCAGCGCCACUACUCCGCGCCGUACAGCCCACAGCAAAACGGCGUCGUCGAGCGGCGCAACCAGACGGUUGUGGGGAUGGCUCGGGCUCUCCUCAAGCAGAGAGGGAUGCCGGUUGUCUUCUGGGGAGAGGCGGUGCUAACGGCCGUCUACAUCCUCAACCGCUCUCCUACUAAGGCACUCGACGGCAGGACUCCGUACGAGGCCUGGCAUGAGCGGAAGCCGGCGGUCUCUCAUUUGCGGGUCUUUGGCUGCCUUGCGUUCGCCAAGGAGCUCGGCCACAUCGGCAAGCUCGACGACAGGAGCACUCCGGGAGUCUUCAUCGGCUACGCGGAGGGCUCAAAGGCCUACCGCAUCCUCGACCCAAAGACACAACGUGCGCGCACAGCGCGAGACGUCGUGUUCAACGAAGGGCGAGGGUGGCAAUGGGACAAGGCGGUGGACGACAGCUCGACGCCGACGUAUGACGACUUCAUUGUCGAGUACGCCCACUUCAAGGAAGCUGGGGGAGCAAGCAGCUCCUCUUCGCCGGGCAUGUCCACCCCGGCCCCCAAAACUACAUCGAUUUCGGCGCCUGCUACGCCGACGACACCACAACCGGCGACGCCGCAUACUCCAGCCCCGGCGGUCACCACUCCGGGCUCGUCUUCAUCAGCACCAGCUCACGCAGAGCACAACCCGAUGAAGUUCGCUUCCCCCCUCACUCACGACGAGGAGCGUAUCGACGCGUGGCAUGACGGCGAACCGCUACGGUACCGUACGAUGGAUAAUCUGCUCGGUGACCAGCCGGUGCCGGGACUGGUGCCACGUGACCUGGAGGCGCAGCUACAGCUCGCGUGUGAAGACGGCGAACCACGGUCCUUUGCAGAGGCCGAGAGAGACGCGGCAUGGCGCGCCGCGAUGCAGUUGGAGAUGGAUACGGUCGAGCAAAACCGCACCUGGGAGCUCGCUGAUCUCCCUCGAGGUCACCGCGCAAUCACCCUUAAGUGGGUGUUCAAGCUGAAGAGGGAUGGAGCCGGCGCCAUCAUCAAGCACAAGGCUCGCUUGGUGGCCCGAGGCUUCUUGCAGCAAGAAGGAGUCGACUUCGACGACGCUUUCACUCCCGUGGCACGGAUGGAGUCCGUGCGACUUCUCCUUGCGCUGGCUGCCCAGGAGGGCUGGCGUGUCCACCACAUGGACGUCAAGUCGGCAUUCCUCAACGGCGACUUGAAGGAGGAAGUCUACGUGCAUCAGCCACCGGGUUUUACGAUACCCGGCCAGGAGGGCAAGGUACUCCGCCUGCGCAAGGCUCUCUAUGGCCUGCGGCAGGCACCCAGGGCGUGGAACGCCAAGCUGGACUCCACGCUGAAGAAGAUGGGUUUCGAGCAGAGCCCGCAUGAGGCUGCCGUCUACCAACGGGGGAGUGGAGGAAAUGCCCUGCUGGUGGGCGUCUACGUUGACGACCUGGUGAUCACCGGCACCAAAGAUGCAGAGGUGGCGGCGUUCAAGGAAGACAUGAAGGCCACGCUCUAG